CUUAUACAUGACGGGGCAUUUCGCGUCAUAAAAGAUGACAUGUAGGAGUAUUUUUGUAUUUGUUGUUGCAAAGGAAACCUUUGCAUGUGAUGUUCUAUGUAACCUAAAUAUUACUUACCUACACAAAGUAAAAACAAUUCUAUAAUUCCUUCUCUUGGAUAAUGAGCAAUCAGCGACUUUAGGUGACAGAUGCUAGGGAUCAAUAAUUGCAUUAAAGUCAUACAAUUCUCAAAGCAUAUGAAGGUAAUCGGACUUUGGCAUUGCUAUAGUGGACCCUGAAUACCAACAUAUAUAUUUCAUACGCAAACAUUAUAACGACCCAGAUCAAUGUAAAUGGACGUGAGCUACCCAACCCUCUUUGGAGAUAUUCUGUGAAAUGAAUUCUCCCUUGUCUUUUUCCGUAAUAAAAAAAUCUUUAUAACUUUUUAGGAAACUUGGAUGUAUCCCUGGGCCGUCGUUGAUAAAAACUAGUUCCUAAAAAAUUAAAAUUGUCCUUUGCCAUGUUUUUAUUGUCAGUAAUGUAUGGGACAGUAUCUUGAAUUAUCCAGUGGCUGUUAUUUGUCCAAACUGUCUAUAUUCGCUACGCCGAACUGUGCGAAACCUAGCACUAUUUCUUCUUUUCUGGGACAUGGUUGAUGGCAAAAUCUGUAUUAGUUGUAUGAAUUGAAAUAAGUGGUUGGGACUGCGGUUAUUAGUUCCAAUAAGGAUUGGCCAGGAUUUCCUGUCAUUGCAAGCCCUAAUCCUAUUUUACUUGCCCAAAACACUUCCGAUAAACUAAUCUUGGCGAGUGGGAUGAAGAUGGACUGCCGGAGCAUAUACAGAUCGAAUACAUACGAGAGGAAGAGGCGAGAGCACAAUGAACAUGAUGAGAUGAAUCUCAAUAUAUAUAAUCGGUACAUUCAAUAGUACAGUAUCAAGCAUACUUACUAUAACAAGUUCCCAUUUUUGGUUCCGAUAACAGGAACGGAGUGGUAUAUGGCGAUAUACCACUCGGUGGAUAUUAUAAUAUAUACCACCAAUUUUUUCACUUUUCUUCAUUUUCUGGGAACUACCUCACGCAGGUCCUUUUUCUUUGUCGCAUAUAUUCUAUGCUCCGAUUUUAAUAUAUAUGUACGAGUUUUAAUAUAUCAUGCUUAGAGUACAAUUUUACUCCAGAUGUGCUGUGUUCCCUGUAUUUUAAUAUAUCUGUAUAAUCAUUCAUGCAAUGAUAAAUAUGUAAACUCCAAAGAGUAGACAUUUAACUGUAUACUACUGUGUAUAUACGUUAGGUGCAGGUUUCGGUGACGGUGUUUUAAUAAUAAGUCAUAACAAUAAAUACGUUAUUCAUCAUGAAAUGAGGUAUGGGUAUCCAAAACAAUAAGUACUAAUGUAACUAGACAAGACAAUACAUACAUGUAAUUAAUCCACUAUGAACAAAAACAAGUUAUGUUUAAUUGGUGAAGGGUUUAAUUACAAUAAAUAGUUAACUUUAAUUAGUGUUCUGUCAUUUAUACCAAUGGAGCAGGUUCCAGAUCACAGCUAGUCAAUAACAUUAUGCCUGUCGGGGUAAUCUGACAUUAGGCGAUGCUCAGAGUAUUCACUCAUUGACAUCACACGAGGGAUAUCGUCCCUUAGUAGGACCUCUAUUUUUUAUUAAUGUUAUACCAUAUGUCCUCUCAAUCUGGGAAACAUACUGUCGUGGCAGUUAACUUCAUAUUGGUAAUGACUUAGUCAUAACUAAUGGAGAACCUCGCUCCAGCUUGCCUGUGUGCAGAGAAGGAUCGGUUUGCCGUGCCGAUAAGAGGGAACCUUCUCAUAAGUUGGAAAUGACGGUGAUUCAUCAGAGGCUAUCCAACCCGGAUAGGGAAGCUGUGGGGAUCAACAGUUGAGCUGUAACGGUCAACGGUGUGACGCCUCCAAUCUGAUGGCGAAAUAAGAAUCAUCGCUGAUUCUUCUACUAAUAGCCAAAUGCCUCGUCAUCUAAUUAGUGACGCGCAUGAAUGGAUUAACGAGAUUCCCACUGUCCCUAUCUACUAUCUAGCGAAACCACAGCCAAGGGAACGGGCUUGGAAUCCUCGGCGGGGAAAGAAGACCCUGUUGAGCUUGACUUCAGUUAGGCAUUGUGAAGCGACAUGAAAGGUGUAGCAUAGGUGGGCGUGCAGCAAUGUACGCAAUUGAAAUACCACUACUUUCAUCGUUUCUUUACUUAUUCAGUGAAGCGGGAGACGGGGCCUUCGCGGGCCCAGUUUCUGGCUUUAAGUCCGGCCGCCUCGGCGGCUGGGCGACCCGCUCUGAAGACAGUGCCUGGCGGGAAGUUUGACUGGGGCGGUACAUCUGUCAAAUGGUAACGCAGGUGUCCUAAGGCGAGCUCAGUGAGGACGGAAACCUCACGUAGAGCAUAAGGGCAAAAGCUCGCUUGAUUUUGAUUUUCAGUACGAUUACAGACCGUGAAAGCGUGGCCUAACGAUCCUUUUGAGACAAUAUGGCAUUUAUUGUCGCACUUUACGAGUUUUAAGCAAGAGGUGUCAGAAAAGUUACCACAGGGAUAACUGGCUUGUGGCAGCCAAGCGUUCAUAGCGACGUUGCUUUUUGAUCCUUCGAUGUCGGCUCUUCCUAUCAUUGCGAAGCAGAAUUCGCCAAGCGUUGGAUUGUUCACCCACUAAUAGGGAACGUGAGCUGGGUUUAGACCGUCGUGAGACAGGUUAGUUUUACCCUACCGAUGACGUUUAUUGGUCGUUGCAAUGGUAAUCCUGCUCAGUACGAGAGGAACCGCAGGUUCAGACAGUUGGUCCAUGUGCUUGGUGGAGGUGCCAAUGGUGCGAAGCUACCCUCUGCGGGCUUAUGACUGACCGCCUCUAAGUCAGAAUCCCGUCCAGAGUCGCGACGAUAUCUUGCGCUCGCGCGUUGUUGAGGCUGAUUAUAAGCGCGUAAGCGCGAGUGUUAAGCCACGGCAGACGACCAUAAUGCCAUGCCGUUAUCGCCGGCUGGCUGGUCGAAGAGUUAACUCUUCAGAAGCAAGGUGCGGGCGUGAAAUCGCUGGUAGACGACCCGUUUUUCGGUCUGGGUGUUGUGCGUAGUAGAGCAGCCACCACACUGCGAUCUAUUGAGACUUAUCCUGUGACCCGUGGAUUUGUUCGCAAC
This 3120-nucleotide ribosomal RNA is filed under the name Haliotis rufescens (red abalone). RNAcentral's name for it is "eukaryotic LSU rRNA". The stretch from base 1686 to 3111 matches the Rfam family "Eukaryotic large subunit ribosomal RNA", at positions 1891 to 3399 of the family's 3401-position model. The record is from RNAcentral. Lineage: Eukaryota; Metazoa; Mollusca; Gastropoda; Lepetellida; Haliotidae.